Molecule: long non-coding RNA, 1230 nt
Organism: Parus major (Great Tit)
Lineage: Eukaryota; Metazoa; Chordata; Aves; Passeriformes; Paridae
Exons: 4
Source: RefSeq, a predicted model, not a curated record
AACGCUGAGAAAAGAACAUCCUGCUUCUGGGAAAUUUUUAUAUAUAUCUCCAUAUAUAUAUAUAUAUUUUAUAUAUAUAUAUACAUAUGUACAGAAAUGCAGAUGAAGACAUUUUAAGUGGUUCUAAUACUUGCAUGAGUGUCAUACUAAACCGUCUGCUUUCAGCGAGAUUGCUUUCCAGUGUUUGUAUAAAGUUGGAAAAGUGCCACAGUGGAGAUGUCCAAAUACGUUUCACAGUCAGAGAGAAGGAUCUAGAACACAAGGGGCAGUCUGACAUGGCAAUCAAAGCAGAAUAUUCUCCCCAGCUCUGCUUCUGACCAGAAUUAAUCAGAUACAAUGAGCCUAAUUUUCAUGGCCAAAAGAAGUUUGUUUUUUUCCCAGGGUUAGCUGCAAACAUAUGAUAAGUUCAUCUCACAGUGCUGUCCAUACCCACCUCCAGGCCCCAGUCCUGCUCUUCAGGACAGAUGUCACCAGGAGCCAUGACCACUUCAGCUCACUGAAGCAUGAGAGAAGGAUGAUGUAGAAUUGAUCUCAGAGACUGUGCAUUUUAGUUUCACACCAAUCUACCUGAGAGAAAUAUGGAGACAACAUAUAGCUUAAGCCCCCUAGGAAUGCAGGACCAGUGGGAAGUGCUUCUGAGGGCCUGUUCUAUCCACAGAAUUUGAAUUUUGAAUGUAAUCUGAAUGUCUCCUCUCAACGUGAUCAGAAAAUAGUUUCUUGCUAGCUGUAUUAUUUCAGUUAGUAGAUUUUGUUGCCUUAGUUUUGACUGCUUUUUUCCCCGCUCAAUGUGAACACUUGCCUUUGCCUUGCUAGAAGGAGGAGCAGUGACCAUAGCAAUUUAAUACGUGAUGUUAAAUGAUUUCUCUCUUGGAACAGGGAAGAAUAGAUUACAAAUGUUUUAGUACCUGUGAGUAAGCUGAAACUGUUUAUGAGUGAAAGAAAAUAAAAAGAAUUAAUGAUGCCACUCACUCCUUUCUUACAGGUUUAACAUAUACUACAUUUCUGUGUUAUUUCCACUUCAUCCAAAUGUUUCUAGCUAAGCUGUCCAAAUCAAGCUUUUUUAGAAUUUGUUCUCUUUGUAGCAUAGGUACACUGAGCUUUGCCAUUUACUGGAACUCUCUAUUCUUUUUUUUUUUUUUUUCCUUGAAGACCAGGAUAUGCCUAGACUGUGGGAAGUAGUUCGUGAGGAAAAAUGAGAGAGGAAAAAAAUAAAAUCUCUUCCUGACUAGG